AUUCUUUCCUGUUUAGAGAGAUGCCAUGAUCAAGAAGGUGUUUUUUCCAGGGUUAAUCUCCUCCAUUGCACUCUAAGUAUGCUGAGCCCUAUGAUUUUCGCAGAUGCAGGAAAUCCAACUGCAUAAUUUGUGGUAGGGGGAGACAGUGCUCACAGUUUCCUA
This 162-nucleotide small nuclear RNA is filed under the name Neotoma lepida (desert woodrat). Its description in RNAcentral is "U1 spliceosomal RNA". It matches the Rfam family "U1 spliceosomal RNA". Rfam says of the family: U1 is a small nuclear RNA (snRNA) component of the spliceosome (involved in pre-mRNA splicing). Lineage: Eukaryota; Metazoa; Chordata; Mammalia; Rodentia; Cricetidae. The record is from Rfam by way of RNAcentral.